UACGUAGGGGCCGAGCGUUGUCCGGAGUUACUGGGCGUAAAGCGCGCGCAGGCGGCUCGUCAAGCCUGACGUGAAAGCCCCCGGCUCAACCGGGGAGGGUCGUCGGGGACUGGCGGGCUUGAGGUCGGCAGGGGUUGGUGGAAUCCCGGUGUAGUGGUGAAAUGCGUAGAGAUCGGGAGGAACACCCGUGGCGAAGGCGGUUCUCUGGGACGGUACUGACGCUGAGACGCGAAAGCGUGGGGAGCGAACAGG
RNAcentral lists this ribosomal RNA (252 nucleotides) under uncultured bacterium. Its description in RNAcentral is "partial 16S ribosomal RNA". It matches the Rfam family "Bacterial small subunit ribosomal RNA", at positions 524 to 776 of the family's 1533-position model. The record is from RNAcentral.